RNAcentral lists this small RNA (482 nucleotides) under Pongo abelii (Sumatran orangutan). Its description in RNAcentral is "processed transcript". The record is from RNAcentral. Lineage: Eukaryota; Metazoa; Chordata; Mammalia; Primates; Hominidae.
GUUGGGGCCAGCCAGCAGCCCCAUUUAGUGCUACCCAGUUGUUCUCUGUCCUUGGUCGGGGGUAACCAUGAGAAAACAGGGUGCACUAUAAUUAGGGAAUUUGUUCAGCUAGACUCAUGAACAUUUUGAUCCCUCUUCUGGGAAGGGCAUUGUUUCCAAGUCCUACGAGUGCCGUCUGAAGGGACAAGGAGCCACCUUCGUGGAGACAGACAGCCCCUUCACCGCGGCGGCCCUGGCAGAAGAGCCCCUCGUCAAGGAGAAGCCCCUCAGAAGCAGCAGGAGGCCAGCACCGCCCCCUGAGCAGGUGCAGCAGGUCAUCAUCUUCCAGGGCUACGACGGGGAGUUUGCUCUGGACCCCUCUGUGGAGGAGACGGCCGCCGCCACGCUGCAGACGCUGGCCAUGGCCGGCCAGGUGGCCCGGGUGGUGCACAUCACGGAGGAUGGCCAGGUCAUCGCCACGAGUCAGAGCGGGGCACAUGUAG